RNAcentral lists this ribosomal RNA (253 nucleotides) under uncultured bacterium. Its description in RNAcentral is "partial 16S ribosomal RNA". It matches the Rfam family "Bacterial small subunit ribosomal RNA", at positions 524 to 776 of the family's 1533-position model. The record is from RNAcentral.
GACGAGCUCUCCAAACGUUAUUCGGUAUCACUGGGCUUAAAGAGUUCGUAGGCGGCUCUACAGGUGGGGUGUGAAAGCCCUCGGCUUAACCGAGGAAUUGCGCCCCAAACCGUAGGACUUGAGGGAUAUAGGGGUAAGCGGAACAGAUGGUGGAGCGGUGAAAUGCAUUGAUAUCAUCUGGAACACCGGUGGCGAAGGCGGCUUACUGGAUAUUUUCUGACGCUGAGGAACGAAAGCUAGGGUAGCGAACGGG